Molecule: ribosomal RNA, 460 nt
Filed under: uncultured bacterium
Lineage: Bacteria
Description: partial 16S ribosomal RNA
Rfam family: Bacterial small subunit ribosomal RNA
Source: RNAcentral
CCUACGCGAGGCAGCAGUGAGGAAUAUUGGUCAAUGGGCGGAAGCCUGAACCAGCCAAGUCGCGUGAGGGAAUAAGGCCCUACGGGUCGUAAACCUCUUUUGCCGGGGAGCAAGGGCCAGGACGAGUCCCGGUCCGGAGAGUAACCGGAGAAAAAGCAUCGGCUAACUCCGUGCCAGCAGCCGCGGUACUACGGAGGAUGCGAGCGGUAGCCGGAGUUAUUGGGUGUUAAGGUUGCGUAGGCGGUCUUUUGAGUCAGCGGUAAAAAUUCGGGGCGCAACCCCGUCCGGCCGUUGAAACUGGGGGCCUUGAGUGGGCGAGAAGAAGGCGGAAUGCGUGGUGUAGCGGUGACAUGCAUAGAUAUCACGCAGAACCCCGAUUGCGAAGGCAGCCUUCCGGCGCCCUACUGACGCUGAGGCACGAAAGUGCGGGGAUCGAACAGGAUUAGAUACCCGAGUAGUC